GGGGGUAGAUAAGGACUGGUGUCUUUACAGGUCUUCAACACCUAGUUGUGGUACUAAUACUAUCAUAGGUGGGUUCGAUUCCCACAUACUCCCGCCA
Molecule: transfer RNA, 97 nt
Filed under: Clostridium moniliforme
Lineage: Bacteria; Bacillati; Bacillota; Clostridia; Eubacteriales; Clostridiaceae
Also listed under: 1 other name
Description: tRNA-Sec
Rfam family: Selenocysteine transfer RNA
Source: RNAcentral